UACGAAGGGGGCUAGCGUUGCUCGGAAUCACUGGGCGUAAAGGGUGCGUAGGCGGGUCUUUAAGUCAGGGGUGAAAUCCUGGAGCUCAACUCCAGAACUGCCUUUGAUACUGAGGAUCUUGAGUCCGGGAGAGGUGAGUGGAACUGCGAGUGUAGAGGUGAAAUUCGUAGAUAUUCGCAAGAACACCAGUGGCGAAGGCGGCUCACUGGCCCGGUACUGACGCUGAGGCACGAAAGCCAGGGGAGCAAACGGG
RNAcentral lists this ribosomal RNA (253 nucleotides) under uncultured bacterium. RNAcentral describes it as "partial 16S ribosomal RNA". It matches the Rfam family "Bacterial small subunit ribosomal RNA", at positions 524 to 776 of the family's 1533-position model. The record is from RNAcentral.